CACCAGGGCUCAUAUCACAGUAUGCUGUCACUCAAUGAAGAGACAACAAAAGAAAACAGAUUAAAGUCAAGAAACUUGGGGAAAUGACAUCAAACUAAGAGAGUAUUCUCUAAGCUGGCUAUACUUUGAGUGUCAACCUGGAACAUACCCGUGGAGAGCAAAACUAAGAAACAGCAACAGCUUACACUCAAAGGAGCAUGGACUUAUGGCUGGAUGAUGUGGACAGUGGUCCACAGGACUUUCCCAUCUGCAUGAGCAAUAUGCCUGCAGCCUGAGACUGAAGUCCCCUACAGAGAUCCACUACUGAGAUGAGUUACCUUCACCUCCUCCUUCAUUUAUGUACAACGCUCUGGAAAGUCUUGAAGAGAAAGAAAAAUAGGAAAACAUAAUCUGCAGUUUGGAACUAUCCGUGUGCGAGGAGCAACAGCUGUGUUUCAAAUUACAAAGGGGAAGGUCUGAAACCACCAUUUCCAAGUGCCCAGCUAAUGUCAUUGGAAAUGACAGCAGCACAUUUAUUCAUAAACACCCUCUCACUUACUCUUCCCUUUCUUACUAAAAUGCUGCAACUAUAGAUGAACAGUAAAUAUACUCUACCCAAAACCCAUACAUGUACAUCUACAAGCAUGCUUAUAUCUAGAGAGAAUAAAAGAGAAAACACUUAGAAGCCAGCAUAAAUGUGUUUAUAUAAUACACAAUGUAUAUAUAACAUGUUGAUAUCAACUUACCACUUCAUCCUAG
Molecule: long non-coding RNA, 738 nt
Filed under: Cricetulus griseus (Chinese hamster)
Lineage: Eukaryota; Metazoa; Chordata; Mammalia; Rodentia; Cricetidae
Description: lncRNA (ENSCGRG00015041661.1)
Source: RNAcentral